AAACUAAUUUAGUUUGGCGGCAUUUCAUCUAUUUAGAGGAAUUUGUCCUUUAAUCGAUAAUCCACGUUAAAUUUCACUUUAAUUUAAAAUUUAUAUACCGCCAUCUUAAGAAUUAUUUUAAAAACAUUCUCUCAAUAAACAAUAAAAAGUUAGGUCAAGGUGUAAUCCAUAUUAAAGAAUCGAUGAAUUACAAUAAAUAACAUUUAAAGAUUACUAAUAAAUAUAUAAGUAUAAAUAAGAAUUUAAAAGUAAUAUAUCAAUAAUAAUAAUAUAUGAUAAAGAUAAUAGAUGUGCACACAUCGCCC
RNAcentral lists this ribosomal RNA (305 nucleotides) under Coelotes terrestris. RNAcentral's name for it is "partial 12S ribosomal RNA". The record is from RNAcentral. Lineage: Eukaryota; Metazoa; Arthropoda; Arachnida; Araneae; Agelenidae.